Psammomys obesus (fat sand rat) is the source of this 2656-nucleotide long non-coding RNA. RefSeq lists it as uncharacterized. The transcript is spliced from 4 exons. NCBI's taxonomy places the organism in Eukaryota, Metazoa, Chordata, Mammalia, Rodentia, Muridae. The record is from RefSeq and is a predicted model, not a curated record.
CCGGAGCACUGGGCGGAGGGAAGGAGAGAGAGGAGCGGGUGGAAUCUAGGAAGAGGGGGAAUCGGGGUGGAGACGCGGAGGGAGAUCUCUCCCAACUGUUCUCUCUGCCAGGAUUAGGGUGGGAAAAAAAAAAAAAAAAGUAAUGCUCGCCUUAGGUGUUGUGCAAGGACCUGAAACUCGAAAGCUGAACCCAGAAGGCAGCUAGGUGGUGGGGCUGAGGUUUCCAAGUCUCGUCCACACUGUCGUCUCCGGAGGGGGGAAAAUGGAGUUUAAUAUUUUCAGAAGAGGAGCACAGACCAUCUACCUAAUAUAGUGGCACCUUUUCCUACGAAACGGGAACCAAAGAAGCCACAAAUAUUCACAGAUACUCAACGGCUCUGAGAACUGGGAAUCCAAAUUUGCAGGAAAAUAACAGCCAAAUAUUUAACUACCCAUUUACUGCGUUGCUUUAAUGGAGGAUGUACGUAUGCCGACAGCACAUUUUGCCAGAGUACCCACAGAGAGCACACUGGCCACUUCCCAGGGAAGCAUCUUUUUAAGAGUUCUCAAGAAAUGCACCUCAGAGGGUAUCCAAGGCUUGAAAUCACUUAGAAUCAAAAAGAGAAAGAACAAAAUUUAUAAAAGUGAGGGAGCCUGAUUUACUUCACACCUGGGAACCUGCUGUCCUGUGAUCACAGUUCUCGGGUUUCUAAUUGCCACAGUUCAGUUGAAGAGAACCAUCAGCAACCCACAAAACCAACCGAGUCUCAGCUAAAAGGUGUCAUUUUACUCACAGAGAUCUGGACUUUGAUUUCUCUGUGGGGAAGGUGUUGCUAUCUCAGGAGCCACAGGCAGCCACCGUAGAUUAAUGAACCUGCAGUUGCUCUACUUUCAGCUGUAGCCAGCUCAUGGCACAGCGCUUGCCAUGCACGUCUGAAUGAACGCAUGUAUCCAAGCACGCACACACAGCUACAUGAAAUAUUAGAAAGGACUUUGUGGCAAUCUUGUCUUUUAAAAGUAUCGGUAAAGCUGGGUGUGGUGGCACACGCCUAUAAUCCCAGCACUCAGGAGGCAGAGGCAGGCGGGUAUCUGUGAGUUCAAGGCCAACCUGGUCUACAGAGUCCAAGACAGCCAGAGAAACGCUGUCUUGAACAAAACAAAAAACAAAACCAACAAAGGAUUAGGAAGUAUUGGAGGCAGCGUCUUCCAUGUAGCUUGCUCUGGCCUGGAGCUCACUCCGUGUAGUCUAGGCUACACUUGAACUUGCGAAGUCUACCUGCUGUCUUGCAAGGGCAGAAAUUAUAGAGUGCACCAUGUCCAGACAUAAUGUAGUUUUCGUUAUGUUUUACACUUUAAUUUUGAAAAACAAGCAGAAAGUAAUCCCAGAACCUUGCCACAGUAGAGCCAGAGUUCUUUGGUUACAAUCCAACAUGGUGAUUAUGUUUGAGAGAACAAAGCUAGGAACAUGAAGCAAAGGCACACCCCAAGGCGCAGGCCGGGCUAUAGUCAGCCUUUCCCAUUUGAAUACACUAAAAAUCAUUCUCUUGUCACUAGGGACUUUUCAAGAGGUUUGAGUGUUCUUUAAAGAUGGGGGUCUCACCCUUCGCAGACUUGUCUGUAACUCACAGUAAUCCUCCUGCCUCAGCUUCCAGAUUGUUGAGAUUUCAAGUGUGAGCCACCCUGCCUGCCCAAACAAUUAGAUCAUUAACCCUGAUCAAAGCCUUAUUGUUGAAGUUUGGAACCCCAGAAACAGAGUUAGGGCUUGGGGGGGGGGGCUAAUGACAACCACCAACAGAAGAGUGGUACACAAAGGUGACCAAGGAGACGCAGUGUGAAUCUGCAGUAUUGUGUAUACAAUGACAGGGCGUGUAGACUAGAUCUUUCCCUGUGAAGAAGUGAUUUGCAAAACUACAGCAAGGCUCUUUCAGGAAGAGUGUUUGGCUGGCGUGGUGACACAUGCCAGGACAGCCAAAGCUACACAGAAGAACUGUGUCUUGAAACAAAACAAAACAGACAACCAACCAACCAACAGUGUCUCAACUCUGCACCAUACACACACAAACACAGAGACGACAGAGAGAAAGACAGAGGCAGAGAGUCUCUCUAGAUGGGGACGCAGGGAAGAAAAUGCAAAAUAACUGCUGGGGCAAGCCAGAUGAAGAAUGGACUUUGAUGCUUGUAUUGGCCUUGAGGGCAGCAUAAGACUCUGUAAGCUCAAAACAGCGCAUAGGACAGUGGAAGACAACUGACUCAGAGGCUGUCUGGCGAGGGUUUAGAGGAAAACACUAACUGAAAACUGCCAGCUGCAGUUAUCCCCUUGGCUUAAUUAGACCUGCUUUGUACACAUUAUAUAAAGAAUUGGUGCAUUAAAGUCAACUUAAGGAGUGUUUGUAACAUAAUAGAGGGGAUCCCGUCAGGUGGCUCAGCCGGUAAAAGUGCCUUUUGAGAAAGCCUGGAGACUUGAGUGUGAUUCCUGGGACAGAACUGACUCUCAAGUUAUUCUCUCUGUCUGUCUCUCUCACACACACACACAAAUGAAGAUAAGUCUUUUUGUUUGUUUUUUGAGACAGGGUUUCUCUGUAGCCCUAGCUGUCCUGGAAAUCGCUCUGUAGACCAGGCUGGCCUCUGCCUCCACCUGCCUCUGCCUCCCAAGUGCUGGGAUGAAAGGCAUGGGCCA